GAUGAACGCUGGCGGCGUGCUUAACACAUGCAAGUCGAACGAGAGAAGAUCGGUGCUUGCACUGAUCCGAUCGAGUGGCGGACUGGUGAGUAACGCGUGGGUAACCUGCCUCAUACAGGGGAAUAACAGUUGGAAACGGCUGCUAAAACCGCAUAAGCGCACAGUAUCGCAUGAUACAGUGUGAAAAACUCCGGUGGUAUGAGAUGGACCCGCGUCUGAUUAGCUAGUUGGUGAGGUAACGGCCCACCAAGGCAACGAUCAGUAGCCGGCCUGGGAGGGUGAACGGCCACACUGGGACUGAGACACGGCCCAAACUCCUACGGGAGGCAGCAGUGGGGAAUAUUGCACAAUGGGGGAAACCCUGAUGCAGCGAUGCCGCGUGAGUGAUGAAGUAUUUCGGUAUGUAAAGCUCUAUCAGCAGGGAAGAUAAUGACGGUACCUGACUAAGAAGCACCGGCUAAAUACGUGCCAGCAGCCGCGGUAA
Molecule: ribosomal RNA, 484 nt
Filed under: uncultured bacterium
Lineage: Bacteria
Description: partial 16S ribosomal RNA
Rfam family: Bacterial small subunit ribosomal RNA
Source: RNAcentral